GACGAACGCUGGCGGCGUGCCUAAUACAUGCAAGUCGAACGGACGUUCUACCCUUUUUUUUCUCUGAUGUUGGCGGCGGACGGGUGAGUAACACGUGGAUAAUCACCCUCUACGCCUUUGUUAAUUUCGGGAAACCGUAGCUGCUACUGGAUGAUAUUUUGAACCGCAUGCUUCAAUAGUGUUAGACGGUCUUGCUGUCACUUAUAGAUGUUUCCGCGCUGCAUUCGCUAGUUGGUAAGGUAACGGCUUACCAAGGCAACGAUGCAUAGCUGACCUGUGAGAGUGAUCGGCCACACUGGAACUGAGACACGGGCCAGAGUCCUACAGGAGGCAGAAGAAGGGAAACUACCGCAAUAGGCGAAAGAGUGAGGGGGAAACGCCGCGCGAGUGAGAUAGGGCUUCGGGUCGUGAGAACCUGUUAUGAGGGUGGAACAGAUGUGGAAGUAACUGUGCAGGUCGUGACGGUACGGAAUAAGAAAGCCACGGCUAACUACGUG
RNAcentral lists this ribosomal RNA (497 nucleotides) under uncultured bacterium. Its description in RNAcentral is "partial 16S ribosomal RNA". It matches the Rfam family "Bacterial small subunit ribosomal RNA", at positions 28 to 507 of the family's 1533-position model. The record is from RNAcentral.